Molecule: long non-coding RNA, 783 nt
Filed under: Equus caballus (horse)
Lineage: Eukaryota; Metazoa; Chordata; Mammalia; Perissodactyla; Equidae
Description: lncRNA (ENSECAG00000057186.1)
Source: RNAcentral
GAAUUUUUUUGAGGAAGAUCAGCCCUGAGCUAACAUCUGCUGCCAAUCUUCCUCUUUUUGCUGAGGAAGACUGGCCCUGAGCUAACAUCCAUGCCCACCUUCCUCUACUUUAUAUGUGGGAGGCCUGCCACAGCGUGGCUUGAUAAACGUGAGUAGGUCCACACCCGGGAUCCGAACUGGUGAACCCUGGGCUGCUGAUGCAGAACAUGCAAACUUAACCACUGUGCCACCAGGCCAGCCCCAUGGUAUUAACAGCGCAUGUGAUCCUUUAAAACAAGGAAACUGAGAGACAGAUGAUAAAGAAGCUGGAGUUUGAAGAGGUGGAAUCACUUGUCCAGGGUUACUCAGCCAGACAAGGACCAGAACCAGUGCUUGGGUGUUUCACCUCCAAGUCCAGCCACCUUUCCACUACAUCACGAGGUGCCUCGGACAGAGCACCCGGUUAGGAGGUCCUCCCAGCAGGGAGGUCGUAGGGCGGUGGCUUUGGGUAUAGGAGGAGAUGUCGUGAGCUAAGAUGAGGGUGCCUGUCUCAGGGGCGCAGCUCUAAAAGCAUCGUGGCAGGCGCGCCAGCGAGUUAGCCAUGAGGUCAGGAGCAGCACGAUGUCAGUCCUGGCAGACGUGUGGAGCAUGGAGCCACACGGAGACUUGAGUUCAAAGCGAAGUCUCAGCAGAUGUGGGUAGAGCAGAGAGUCAGCCUGGCCUGGCGGCCACCGUAACAGGAUUCUGGUCCUGGAAGCCUCACUUUGGGACUUUGGGUCAGUCAUUUAAACUCUUUGAGCCUCA